ACAGGUGCUGCAUGGCUGUCGUCAGCUCGUGUCGUGAGAUGUUGGGUUAAGUCCCGUAACGAGCGCAACCUGUCCUUAGUUACCAGCACGUUAUGGUGGGCACUCUAAGGAGACUGCCGGUGACAAACCGGAGGAAGGUGGGGAGUGACGUCAAGUCAUCAUGGCCCUUACGGCCUGGGCUACACACGUGCUACAAUGGUCGGUACAAAGGGUUGCCAAGCCGCGAGGUGGAGCUAAUCCCAUAAAACCGAUCGUAGUCCGGAUCGCAGUCUGCAACUCGACUGCGUGAAGUCGGAAUCGCUAGUAAUCGUGAAUCAGAAUGUCACGGUGAAUACGUUCCCGGGCCUU
This 348-nucleotide ribosomal RNA is filed under the name uncultured Pseudomonas sp. RNAcentral's name for it is "bacterial SSU rRNA". It matches the Rfam family "Bacterial small subunit ribosomal RNA", at positions 1034 to 1382 of the family's 1533-position model. The record is from RNAcentral. Lineage: Bacteria; Pseudomonadati; Pseudomonadota; Gammaproteobacteria; Pseudomonadales; Pseudomonadaceae.